GACGAACGCUGGCGGCAUGCCUAAUACAUGCAAGUCGAGCGAACAGAUGAAGUGCUUGCACUUCUGACGUUAGCGGCGAACGGGUGAGUAACACGUAAGGAAUCUACCUAUAAGCGGGGGAUAACAUUCGGAAACGGGUGCUAAUACCGCAUAAUAUCUUCUUCCGCAUGGAAGAAGAUUGAAAGACGGCUCUGCUGUCACUUAUAGAUGACCUUGCGGUGCAUUAGUUAGUUGGUGGGGUAACGGCCUACCAAGACGAUGAUGCAUAGCCGACCUGAGAGGGUGAUCGGCCACAUUGGGACUGAGACACGGCCCAAACUCCGACGGGAGGCAGCAGUAGGGAAUCUUCCGCAAUGGGCGAAAGCCUGACGGAGCAAUGCCGCGUGAGUGAAGAAGGCCUUCGGGUCGUAAAACUCUGUUAUAAGAGAAGAACAAAUUGUAGAGUAACUGCUACAGUCUUGACGGUAUCUUAUCAGAAAGCCACGGCUGACUACGUGCCAGCCGCCGCCGUAA
RNAcentral lists this ribosomal RNA (513 nucleotides) under uncultured bacterium. Its description in RNAcentral is "partial 16S ribosomal RNA". It matches the Rfam family "Bacterial small subunit ribosomal RNA", at positions 28 to 523 of the family's 1533-position model. The record is from RNAcentral.